AGGACUAUAGUCAACAAUGAUAUCUGGGUUGCAUUCAGAAGGUGUUAUACUUAUAACUUGUCUUA
Molecule: transfer RNA, 65 nt
Filed under: Euphausia pacifica (North Pacific krill)
Lineage: Eukaryota; Metazoa; Arthropoda; Malacostraca; Euphausiacea; Euphausiidae
Description: tRNA-Ala
Source: RNAcentral